GAUGAACGCUGGCGGCGUGCCUAAUACAUGCAAGUCGAACGCAUUGUGGUUGAAAUGAUAUGAAGAACUUGUUCAGAUUUGAUUUUCAACAUUGCAAUGAGUGGCGAACGGGUGAGUAACACGUGGGAAACCUACCUCUUAGCAGGGGAUAACAUUUGGAAACAAAUGCUAAUACCGUAUAAUAAUUAAAACCGCAUGGUUUUAGUUUAAAAGAUGGUCUUGCUAUCACUAAGAGAUGGUCCCGCGGUGUAUUAGUUAGUUGGUGAGGUAAUGGCUCACCAAGACAAUGAUACAUAGCCGAGUUGAGAGACUGACCGGCCACAAUGGGACUGAGACACGGCCCAUACUCCUACGGGAGGCAGCAGUAGGGAAUCUUCCACAAUGGACGAAAGUCUGAUGGAGCAACGCCGCGUGUGUGAUGAAGGGUUUCGGCUCGUAAAACACUGUUGUAAGAGAAGAAUGACAUUGAGAGUAACUGUUCAAUGUGU
RNAcentral lists this ribosomal RNA (488 nucleotides) under uncultured bacterium. RNAcentral describes it as "bacterial SSU rRNA". It matches the Rfam family "Bacterial small subunit ribosomal RNA", at positions 28 to 477 of the family's 1533-position model. The record is from RNAcentral.